This 281-nucleotide ribosomal RNA is filed under the name uncultured bacterium. RNAcentral describes it as "partial 16S ribosomal RNA". It matches the Rfam family "Bacterial small subunit ribosomal RNA", at positions 334 to 607 of the family's 1533-position model. The record is from RNAcentral.
UUUUCCUACGGGAGGCAGCAGUGGGGAAUAUUGCACAAUGGGCGAAAGUCUGAUGGAGCAACGCCGCGUGAGUGAAGAAGGGUUUCGGCUCGUAAAGCUCUGUUGGUAGUGAAGAAAGAUAGAGGUAGUAACUGGCCUUUUUUUGACGGUAAUUACUUAGAAAGUCACGGCUAACUACUUGCCAGCAGCCGCGGUAAUACGUAGGUGGCAAGCGUUUUCCGGAUUUUUUGGGCGUAAAGCGAGUGCAGGCGGUUCUAUAAGUGUUAUGUUAAAACCUUAGG